GGGGCCUUAGCUUAGUCUGGUUCAAAGCCCCCGGCUCAUAUCGGCGUCCGUCCGCGUGGCGGGUGUCGUGGGACACCGGGUGAGCGGUGGUUCAAAUCCGCCAGGCCCCA
RNAcentral lists this transfer RNA (110 nucleotides) under Halobacterium hubeiense. It matches the Rfam family "tRNA". From Rfam's summary of the family: Transfer RNA (tRNA) molecules are approximately 80 nucleotides in length. Their secondary structure includes four short double-helical elements and three loops (D, anti-codon, and T loops). The record is from Rfam by way of RNAcentral. Lineage: Archaea; Methanobacteriati; Methanobacteriota; Halobacteria; Halobacteriales; Halobacteriaceae.